CCACCGAAGUUAAGCAACGCUGAGCCCGGUCAGUACCUAGAUGGGUGUCCGUUUGGGAAUACCAGGUGCUGUAAA
Acanthosepion pharaonis is the source of this 75-nucleotide non-coding RNA. The record is from the annotation of a GenBank genome assembly. Lineage: Eukaryota; Metazoa; Mollusca; Cephalopoda; Sepiida; Sepiidae.